This 253-nucleotide ribosomal RNA is filed under the name uncultured bacterium. RNAcentral describes it as "partial 16S ribosomal RNA". It matches the Rfam family "Bacterial small subunit ribosomal RNA", at positions 524 to 776 of the family's 1533-position model. The record is from RNAcentral.
UACAGAGGGUGCAAACGUUGCUCGGAAUCAUUGGGCGUAAAGCGCACGUAGGCGGCCUAGCAAGUAGGGAGUGAAAGCCCUCGGCUUAACCGAGGAAGUGCUUUCUAAACUACUAGGCUUGAAUACUGGAGAGGGUCGCGGAAUUCCCGGUGUAGAGGUGAAAUUCGUAGAUAUCGGGAGGAAUACCGGUGGCGAAGGCGGCAUCCUGGACCGGCAUUGACGCUGAGGAGCGAAAGCUAGGGGAGCAAACGGG